Molecule: long non-coding RNA, 1311 nt
Organism: Cygnus olor (mute swan)
Lineage: Eukaryota; Metazoa; Chordata; Aves; Anseriformes; Anatidae
Exons: 3
Source: RefSeq, a predicted model, not a curated record
AUGCAAACUAUUGUUAUAACUCAGCCCAGUUGGUUCAUGCCCUGGCUUGCUCUGACACCGCAUAAACUUGAGCGUUUCAAAGGAGCGAUGCACGACGACCCUACCAGCUUGUCAACUGUGUCUGAUUACCCUCUGAUAAUCCAUAGCUGUUCCUCAUCAAAAAAGUAAAGCAGCAAACCCUACUGAUCACAACCUGAAAGGCUGACAGAGCUUUUAAGCCAAAAUUGUUUGCCAAUUUGUCCCAACCUCAUGGAGGAUACAUCUGUUUCAGCAGAUUUGCUGUUCAUUGAAGUAACUGCUUUGUCCUAAAAACUGAUAGACUUGUCAAAGCCCAAACCCAGGACAGAAGAAUAAACCUUCAUUUUCCCAGAAUGAGGAGCAGAACUCUGUGAGGUGAUCAGCAGGCAGGACGGGACCUGAAGGUACAUGAAGCAGAAGACAGCCCUAUUUAAACAGCAAUGACAAUGCAAUCCGAUCCUGAGGUCAGGCUGCAGCAUGGGGACUUGGGAGGUCUGUAUGGAGGCCCUGGCCCAGCUCCAGGUGCUGUCACGACCUUCUGGCAGUCACAAAGGAGCAAGACCAAGCACAACACUUGUCCUGAAGCGGGCCUCCAAAUGGACCAUCAUGAUCACAGCCAGAAGGAAGGGUAGCCCUCUCUCCAGGGAUACACCAGAGAAGUCUGGUAGCCUGUCUCUUGGGGCACCCAAAAAACCAUGUCUGAUGAAAAUGUGAGUGUCGUGCAGUUUUCUGUUGUAAUGCUUCCACGGAGUGUUCUCCUAGAUGUCAAAAAAUCACUGCGCAGAGGUGUCACCCUUUGCAUUCACCAGACCUCUACUUUCUUCUUUAACUUGUCCAGUACCUUCACAAAUUCUUAUGAACUUAUGUCCACAGUGUGUCACAGCUCAGUGUACUUUGCUGUGUGCAGAGCCAUUUCCUCCUGCUUGACUUGAACCCACUGCCCCUGCUUUUCAUUUACCAAUCUGCAUAGGAAGUGACAAGUGUCCCUCUCCACUUUCUCCAGGCGCUUCGUCCACAGUCUGGUGUACAAAAGCCUGCCUCAAAGCAAAUCUAUCAGCAUACAUCAGAGUAAAAAUCAGUCUGUAAGGUCACCUGAGAGUCCUGUUUUCUCACUACAAAACACGGAUUAACAAACACCAUCUUCUCAGGCUCUUUUUACCAGUCAGUCUCUCCAUUAGAAAAGAACAUCACAGGUGAAACACCUGCAAGCAGAAAUAAAGCAGGUUGAAGCUGUUUUGAUGAAACAACAUCCUUUGUGUAAGAUAGAUAGCAAGCAUCUCCUGUUAGGCCAAA